AUAUUAUUUUAUUUUGGUUAAUAUUUUUAUUAUUAUUUUAUUUUACAUGUAAAUUUUUGUGUGAAUUUAUUUAAUUUUUAAAAAAUUAUUUAAUUAUUUUAUUCACAGUGAUUGAUAUUAAUAUAAAAAAGAAAUUUUGUAUUAGUAAUAAUAUAUAGUAUUGGUAAAAUUUGUGCCAGCUACCGCGGUUAUACAAAUAAUACAAAUAAAAAUUUUUAGUAGUAGUUAAAUUGAUCAAAUUUUAAUAUAAAUAUAAAUUUAUUAGGUGAAAUUUUUAAAUUUAUUUAUUAUUAAUUUAAAAAAUAAUUUAAGCUAUAAACUUUUUAUAAUAAACUAGGAUUAGAUACCCUAUUAUUAAAAAUAAAUAUGAGCAUACUAAAGUAGUAUUAGUUAUAUUCUUAAAAUUUAAAAAAUUUGGCGGUAUUUUAGUCUAUUCAGAGGAAUCUGUCCUGUAAUUGAUAAUCCACAUUGAACCUUACUUAAAUUUGUUUAAUUUGUAUAUCGCCGUCAUCAGAAUAUAUUAUAAGAUAAAAUUUUCUUAAUAUCUAAUAAGAUAAUAUGUCAGGUCAAGGUGCAGUUUAUGUUUAAGUAGAGAUGGAUUACAAUAAAUUUAUUUAAUAUGAAUUAUUUUUUGAAAUAAAAAUUUGAAAGUGGAUUUGAAAGUAAUAUAAAAAAGAUUAUUUAUAUGAUUUUAGCUCUAAAAUAUGCACAUAUCGCCCAUCGUUCUUAUUUUUAAAAUAAGAUAAGUUGUAACAUAGUAGAUGUACUGGAAAGUGUAUCUAGAAAGA
This 788-nucleotide non-coding RNA is filed under the name Culex mollis. Lineage: Eukaryota; Metazoa; Arthropoda; Insecta; Diptera; Culicidae. The record is from RNAcentral.